This 209-nucleotide unclassified non-coding RNA is filed under the name plant metagenome. RNAcentral's name for it is "partial contains small subunit ribosomal RNA, internal transcribed spacer 1, and 5.8S ribosomal RNA". The record is from RNAcentral.
UCUCCGUUGGUGAACCAGCGGAGGGAUCAUUACUGGAAUCGCAAGAUCCCACAACCCUGUGAACCUACCGAAACGUUGCCUCGGCGGGUGCCCGGCCUCUGCGCCGGGCGCUGCGCCCGCCGGCGGCCCCCUACUCUGUCUCUGCAGCGUGGCAUCUCAGAGACCCAGAAGACAAGUCAAAACUUUCAACAACGGAUCUCUUGGCUCUA